GCAUGUGCGCUCUAUAUAUUGAGUUGCAACGUGUGACGGAUGGUACGUGUAACGAAUUACAUCUUAAAGGAGUUUGAUUUAUAUCUUCAAAGUUAUUAAAAAAUAUCUACCAAAUUUGAUCAGAGAAGAAGUCAUAUAACCUAAAUAGAUCAAUACUCCCGUAAACGAUGAAUGUUUUGUUAAAAAAUGAAAGAAGUAAAAUACGAUAAUAUAAAAAAAAAAAAGUUUAAACAGAUAAGAACACAUGAUUCAUUGAACACGAUAUUUUAGAUCAAGAUUG
Molecule: long non-coding RNA, 280 nt
Filed under: Capsella rubella
Lineage: Eukaryota; Viridiplantae; Streptophyta; Magnoliopsida; Brassicales; Brassicaceae
Description: long non-coding RNA (CRUB_LNC003365)
Source: RNAcentral